CUACGGGUGGCUGCAGUGGGGGAUAUUGCACAAUGGGCGAAAGCCUGAUGCAGCAACGCCGCGUGAAGGAAGACGGUUUUCGGAUUGUAAACUUCUAUCAGCAGGGAAGAAAAUGACUGUACCUGACUAAGGAGCCCCGGCUAACUACGUGCCAGCAGCCGCGGUAAUACGUAGGGGGCAAGCGUUAUCCGGAAUUACUGGGUGUAAAGGGUACGUAGGCGGCUGAUCAAGUCAGAUGUGAAAGCCCGGAGCUCAACUCCGGGACUGCAUUUGAAACUGGUCGGCUAGAGUGCAGGAGAGGAAAGUGGAAUUCCUAGUGUAGCGGUGAAAUGCGUAGAUAUUAGGAAGAACACCAGUGGCGAAGGCGGCUUUCUGGACUGUAACUGACGCUGAGGUACGAAAGCGUGGGGAGCGAACAGGAUUAGAUACCCCCGUAGUC
Molecule: ribosomal RNA, 439 nt
Filed under: uncultured bacterium
Lineage: Bacteria
Description: partial 16S ribosomal RNA
Rfam family: Bacterial small subunit ribosomal RNA
Source: RNAcentral